UACGUAGGGGGCGAGCGUUGUCCGGAUUCAUUGGGCGUAAAGAGCUCGUAGGCGGCUUGGCAAGUCGGAUGUGAAAACUCCAGGCUCAACCUGGAGCCGCCAUUCGAUACUGCUAUGGCUAGAGUCCGGAAGAGGAGAGUGGAAUUCCUGGUGUAGCGGUGAAAUGCGCAGAUAUCAGGAAGAACACCAAUGGCGAGAGCAGCUCUCUGGGACGGUACUGACGCUGAGACGCGAAAGCGUGGGGAGCGAACAGG
RNAcentral lists this ribosomal RNA (254 nucleotides) under uncultured bacterium. Its description in RNAcentral is "partial 16S ribosomal RNA". It matches the Rfam family "Bacterial small subunit ribosomal RNA", at positions 524 to 776 of the family's 1533-position model. The record is from RNAcentral.